GAUGAACGCUGGCGGCGUGCCUAAUACGUGCAAGUCGAGCGAACGGACGAGAAGCUUGCUUCUCUGAUGUUAGCGGCGGACGGGUGAGUAACACGUGGAUAACCUACCUAUAAGACUGGGAUAACUUCGGGAAACCGGAGCUAAUACCGGAUAAUAUUUUGAACCGCAUGGUUCAAAAGUGAAAGACGGUCUUGCUGUCACUUAUAGAUGGAUCCACGCUGCAUUAGCUAGUUGGUAAGGUAACGGCUUACCAAGGCAACGAUGCAUAGCCGACCUGAGAGGGUGAUCGGCCACACUGGAACUGAGACACGGUCCAGACUCCUACGGGAGGCAGCAGUAGGGAAUCUUCCGCAAUGGGCGAAAGCCUGACGGAGCAACGCCGCGUGAGUGAUGAAGGUCUUCGGAUCGUAAAACUCUGUUAUUAGGGAAGAACAUAUGUGUAAGUAACUGUGCACAUCUUGACGGUACCUAAUCAGAAAGCCACGGCUAACUACGUG
Molecule: ribosomal RNA, 497 nt
Filed under: uncultured bacterium
Lineage: Bacteria
Description: partial 16S ribosomal RNA
Rfam family: Bacterial small subunit ribosomal RNA
Source: RNAcentral